GACGAACGCUGGCGGCGUGCCUAAUACAUGCAAGUUGAGCGAUUAAGAUUGGUGCUUGCACCAAUUUGAAGAGCAGCGAACGGGUGAGUAACGCGUGGGGAAUCUGCCUUUGAGCGGGGGACAACAUUUGGAAACGAAUGCUAAUACCGCAUAACAACUUUAAACAUAAGUUUUAAGUUUGAAAGAUGCAAUUGCAUCACUCAAAGAUGAUCCCGCGUUGUAUUAGCUAGUUGGUGAGGUAAAGGCUCACCAAGGCGAUGAUACAUAGCCGACCUGAGAGGGUGAUCGGCCACAUUGGGACUGAGACACGGCCCAAACUCCUACGGGAGGCAGCAGUAGGGAAUCUUCGGCAAUGGACGAAAGUCUGACCGAGCAACGCCGCGUGAGUGAAGAAGGUUUUCGGAUCGUAAAACUCUGUUGGUAGAGAAGAACGUUGGUGAGAGUGGAAAGCUCAUCAAGUGACGGUAACUACCCAGAAAGGGACGGCUAACUACGUG
This 497-nucleotide ribosomal RNA is filed under the name uncultured bacterium. RNAcentral describes it as "partial 16S ribosomal RNA". It matches the Rfam family "Bacterial small subunit ribosomal RNA", at positions 28 to 507 of the family's 1533-position model. The record is from RNAcentral.